GCUGGAUGUUAACUUGCAGAAGAGAGGACGGAUUUGAAUCUUUAAUGGCAUCUGAACGAUGGGAGGAUUUGUUGUGAACUUAAAGCAUUCAUAUUUUCGAUCAUCAUCGAUGCUCAAUCGAAGACUUUACACCUCCCUCGCUUACUCAAACCUCUAUCCACCUCCUUGUAGAAAAUCAUCGAACCCUUUUCUCAUUUCUCAUCGAGAAAGUAGUUCCAUUAGACCAAGUUGGUUCCAGUCAAGAUUUCAAAGAGCCAACCCCAAGACCCAUCGAUUAAUCUCAAGAAAUUACCAAAUGGGUGAUGCCAGAAGGCCUCCCUCUGUUACCAUACCACCUGUUUCUAUUGCUGGAAAGGCCGAAGUUUUUAGGGCUCUUGAAGCUUCACUGGGGAAAUCCUUCAGUUCUGAUGGAUUGACACCACCACCAAACCCUUUGAUCAUAGUCAUAAGUGGACCUAGCGGGGUGGGCAAAGACUCUGUCAUCAAAAGAUUGAGGGAAGUUCGAGAGGGCAUUCACUUUGUUGUCACGGCUACGAGCAGGGCAAAGAGGCCUGGUGAGGUUGAUGGGAAAGAUUACUUCUUUGUUUCAAAAGACGAGUUUCUUUCAAUGGUGGAUAGGGAUGAGCUUUUGGAGUAUGCUCUUGUCUAUGGAGAUUACAAGGGGGUCCCAAAGCCACAGAUCCAAGAGUAUAUGACGAAGGGGUAUGAUAUAGUUCUGAGGGUUGACAUACAAGGGGCAGCAAAACUAAAAUCCAUUUUUGGAGAUUCUGCAGUUUUCAUUUUCCUUGUUGCUGAGAGUGAAGCAGAUCUUGUGGAUCGGCUGAUUGAUCGGAAGACAGAGACCACUGACACCCUUCUUGUAAGGGUGAAGACAGCUCAGGAGGAGAUGAAGCAUCUAAGGCGAUUUGAUUAUGUUGUUGUAAAUGCAAAAGGGAAGCUUGAGAGUGCAGUAAAGCUAGUGGAAUCCAUUAUUGAUGCUGAGAAAGCUAAAAUUCGGCAGAGAAUUGCUGUGAUAUAGCCUAUGAAGAUCUUAUCCUUGUCAUUAAGGAGAUAAGUCUGGAAGAAGGAACAGUGAACGAGUUGCUUUGCCAAAUUUGCCCUUCAAAUUCUAUAUUGAAUGACUCAUUUGAUUGUGCUGUUUGUAACCACAAUCAAGAAUGGCAAAACACAGGGAAGAAGUAAACGGUGGUUAUUUAGUAUUACUAACUUAAUUCAAGGUUUAUCCUACUUUUAUCUAACAAAUUAUGUUUUCCCACUUUAAUUUGCUGAUUAAAACACUGAUUUUUUGAUAUACAUUAUGAAAUGAAUAUUUCAUUUUUUUAAUGUGUCUGAGAACUUUGUCUUUGGCAUGUUGGUAUAUCUAUGCAUGAAGGAAUUUUGCAUGGGUCAGACUUUGUAUAUUGUUUAUUAUUAUUAUUUUAAGCUCACACUUCAAGCAACAUGCCAUGUAAAUGUAUUCUUUGAGGGAGGAACUGGAAGCCAUGAAAGACUGCAUGGUUUAUUACAUGUCGUUGAGAAAUUAUGAAGUAUGAACACAAGUGAAAUGAUGGUCUAAGUGCAUGGUCUAGCAACUGUGGGAGGUUUUGCUUCAACCUCAGUUUCUAAGGUUCCAAACAUGGGAUGAGAAGAAUUGUGAAUGGGUUCUUCUUGCAGGGUAAUUUCUACUAACUGGGUGUGAUAUCAUUGAGCUGCAUUGACUGGUUUUCCCCUCAAAUCCAAAACAGACUUCACCAGCGAAGUCUAUCUCGCGAGCAAUGGUGUUCUUCCAUCUCUGAUCCCCAUAUCAUCAAAGCUGACCACCAUCGAGCAAUCUAGAGGUACACCACCUCCAUCUAAUCAUUUUUUUCUUAUUCUCGACGGUCCUUGGAGAACCAAUCUAAUUCCAUUGUGUAGUUUGAUCGCCCCUCUAAUACUUCAGAUGGUGUUACUACAUUUUUGGGGUUUUUGUGAUGACCAUUUAUUCGUGAACCCUGAAAAUUUUCUAGGCAUCUCUAUUUGACAAUGUAAAAGAAUGUGUUAAAGCCUAUUUCAAAUAUUAUUACUAGCUCACCAUUUGUCUUUUGGGUGGCCUUCGUAA
This is an RNA transcript of Malania oleifera, 2077 nucleotides long. It is a transcript of the gene named guanylate kinase 3, chloroplastic-like, with no coding region annotated. The record is from RefSeq and is a predicted model, not a curated record. Lineage: Eukaryota; Viridiplantae; Streptophyta; Magnoliopsida; Santalales; Ximeniaceae. The transcript has 4 exons.